CAUUGGCUCAANCAAUGUAUGCUUUGGAAACUGUUAGACUUGAGUGCAGAAGGGGAGAGUGGAAUUCCAUGUGUAGCGGUGAAAUGCGUAGAUAUAUGGAGGAACACCGGUGGCGAAAGCGGCUCUCUGGUCUGUCACUGACGCUGAGGCUCGAAAGCGUGGGUAGCGAACAGGAUUAGAUACCCUGGUAGUCCACGCCGUAAACGCUGAGUGCUAGGUGUUAGGUCCUUUCCGGGACUUAGUGCCGACGCUAACGCAUUAAGCACUCCGCCUGGGGAGUACGACCGCAAGGUUGAAACUCAAAGGAAUUGACGGGGGCCCGCACAAGCGGUGGAGCAUGUGGUUUAAUCCGAAGCAACGCGAAGAACCUUACCAGGUCUUGACAUCCCGAUGCCCGCUCUAGAGAUAGAGUUUUUCUUCGGAACAUCGGAGACAGGUGGUGCAUGGUUGUCGUCAGCUCGUGUCGUGAGAUGUUGGGUUAAGUCCCGCAACGAGCGCAACCCUUAUUGUUAGUUGCCAUCAUUAAGUUGGGCACUCUAGCGAGACUGCCGGUAAUAAACCGGAGGAAGGUGGGGAUGACGUCAAAUCAUCAUGCCCCUUAUGACCUGGGCUACACACGUGCUACAAUGGUUGGUACAACGAGUCGCAAGCCGGUGACGGCAAGCUAAUCUCUGAAAGCCAAUCUCAGUUCGGAUUGUAGGCUGCAACUCGCCUACAUGAAGUCGGAAUCGCUAGUAAUCGCGGAUCAGCACGCCGCGGUGAAUACGUUCCCGGGCCUUGUACACACCGCCCGUCACACCACGAGAGUUUGUAACACCCAAAG
RNAcentral lists this ribosomal RNA (823 nucleotides) under uncultured bacterium. RNAcentral describes it as "bacterial SSU rRNA". It matches the Rfam family "Bacterial small subunit ribosomal RNA", at positions 602 to 1426 of the family's 1533-position model. The record is from RNAcentral.